UACAGAGGUCCCAAGCGUUGUUCGGAUUCACUGGGCGUAAAGGGCGCGUAGGUGGCGGCCCAAGUCCAUGGUGAAAGCUCGAUGCUCAACAUCGAGUCGGCCACGGAUACUGGGUUGCUGGAGCACUGUAGGGGCAGAUGGAAUUCCGGGUGUAGCGGUGGAAUGCGUAGAGAUCCGGAAGAACACCGGUGGCGAAGGCGGUCUGCUGGGCAGUUGCUGACACUGAGGCGCGACAGCGUGGGGAGCAAACAGG
RNAcentral lists this ribosomal RNA (253 nucleotides) under uncultured bacterium. RNAcentral's name for it is "partial 16S ribosomal RNA". It matches the Rfam family "Bacterial small subunit ribosomal RNA", at positions 524 to 776 of the family's 1533-position model. The record is from RNAcentral.